AGGAAUUUAGUUAAUUUAUAAUAUUUAUUUUGCAAAUAAAAGUGAAAUUAUUUUAUUUUAAUUCUUA
This 67-nucleotide transfer RNA is filed under the name Lamennaisia nobilis. RNAcentral's name for it is "tRNA-Ala". The record is from RNAcentral. Lineage: Eukaryota; Metazoa; Arthropoda; Insecta; Hymenoptera; Encyrtidae. RNAcentral also lists the same sequence under 1 other name.